Molecule: ribosomal RNA, 373 nt
Filed under: uncultured Bacteroidota bacterium
Lineage: Bacteria; Pseudomonadati; Bacteroidota
Description: bacterial SSU rRNA
Rfam family: Bacterial small subunit ribosomal RNA
Source: RNAcentral
UAAUACGGAGGGUGCAAGCGUUAUCCGGAUUUAUUAGGUUUAAAGGGUUCGCAGGCGGAAUUUUAAGUCAGUGGUGAAAGCCUAUAGCUCAACUAUAGAACUGCCAUUGAUACUGAUAUUCUUGAGUAUAGAUGAAGUGGGCGGAAUAUGUCAUGUAACGGUGAAAUGCAUAGAUAUGACAUGGAACACCAAUUGCGAAGGCAGCUCACUAAACUAUUACUGACGCUCAUGAACGAAAGCAUGGGGAGCGAACAGGAUUAGAUACCCUGGUAGUCCAUGCCGUAAACUAUGAUCACUAGAUGUUGGCGAUAUAUUGUCAGUGUUUUAGAGAAAUCGAUAAGUGAUCCACCUGGGGAGUACGUUCGCAAGAAUG